Molecule: ribosomal RNA, 1343 nt
Filed under: Arthrobacter sp.
Lineage: Bacteria; Bacillati; Actinomycetota; Actinomycetes; Micrococcales; Micrococcaceae
Description: bacterial SSU rRNA
Rfam family: Bacterial small subunit ribosomal RNA
Source: RNAcentral
ACGAUGAUGCCAGCUUGCUGGUGGAUUAGUGGCGAACGGGUGAGUAACACGUGAGUAACCUGCCCUUGACUCUGGGAUAAGCCUGGGAAACUGGGUCUAAUACCGGAUAUGACCGACUAUCGCAUGGUGGUUGGUGGAAAGCUUUUGUGGUUUUGGAUGGACUCGCGGCCUAUCAGCUUGUUGGUGGGGUAAUGGCCUACCAAGGCGACGACGGGUAGCCGGCCUGAGAGGGUGACCGGCCACACUGGGACUGAGACACGGCCCAGACUCCUACGGGAGGCAGCAGUGGGGAAUAUUGCACAAUGGGCGCAAGCCUGAUGCAGCGACGCCGCGUGAGGGAUGACGGCCUUCGGGUUGUAAACCUCUUUCAGUAGGGAAGAAGCGAAAGUGACGGUACCUGCAGAAGAAGCGCCGGCUAACUACGUGCCAGCAGCCGCGGUAAUACGUAGGGCGCAAGCGUUAUCCGGAAUUAUUGGGCGUAAAGAGCUCGUAGGCGGUUUGUCGCGUCUGCCGUGAAAGUCCGGGGCUCAACUCCGGAUCUGCGGUGGGUACGGGCAGACUAGAGUGAUGUAGGGGAGACUGGAAUUCCUGGUGUAGCGGUGAAAUGCGCAGAUAUCAGGAGGAACACCGAUGGCGAAGGCAGGUCUCUGGGCAUUAACUGACGCUGAGGAGCGAAAGCAUGGGGAGCGAACAGGAUUAGAUACCCUGGUAGUCCAUGCCGUAAACGUUGGGCACUAGGUGUGGGGGACAUUCCACGUUUUCCGCGCCGUAGCUAACGCAUUAAGUGCCCCGCCUGGGGAGUACGGCCGCAAGGCUAAAACUCAAAGGAAUUGACGGGGGCCCGCACAAGCGGCGGAGCAUGCGGAUUAAUUCGAUGCAACGCGAAGAACCUUACCAAGGCUUGACAUGAACCGGAAAGACCUGGAAACAGGUCCCCCACUUGUGGUCGGUUUACAGGUGGUGCAUGGUUGUCGUCAGCUCGUGUCGUGAGAUGUUGGGUUAAGUCCCGCAACGAGCGCAACCCUCGUUCUAUGUUGCCAGCACGUGAUGGUGGGGACUCAUAGGAGACUGCCGGGGUCAACUCGGAGGAAGGUGGGGACGACGUCAAAUCAUCAUGCCCCUUAUGUCUUGGGCUUCACGCAUGCUACAAUGGCCGGUACAAAGGGUUGCGAUACUGUGAGGUGGAGCUAAUCCCAAAAAGCCGGUCUCAGUUCGGAUUGGGGUCUGCAACUCGACCCCAUGAAGUCGGAGUCGCUAGUAAUCGCAGAUCAGCAACGCUGCGGUGAAUACGUUCCCGGGCCUUGUACACACCGCCCGUCAAGUCACGAAAGUUGGUAACACCC